UGUCUAGGUGGAAAGAUCAGUCAGAUGUGAAAUCCCAGGGCUCAACCCUGGAACUGCAUUUGAAACUGUCUUUCUAGAGGGUAGGCGGAGAAAACAGAAUUCUGCAAGUAGCGGUGAAAUGCGUAGAUAUGCAGAAGAAUACCGGUGGCGAAGGCGGUUUUCUAGCUUAUUCCUGACACUGAAGCACGAAAGCAAGGGGAGCAAACAGGAUUAGAUACCCUGGUAGUCC
RNAcentral lists this ribosomal RNA (229 nucleotides) under uncultured bacterium. Its description in RNAcentral is "partial 16S ribosomal RNA". It matches the Rfam family "Bacterial small subunit ribosomal RNA", at positions 568 to 796 of the family's 1533-position model. The record is from RNAcentral.